This 73-nucleotide transfer RNA is filed under the name Thiocapsa rosea. RNAcentral's name for it is "tRNA-Lys". It matches the Rfam family "tRNA". Rfam says of the family: Transfer RNA (tRNA) molecules are approximately 80 nucleotides in length. Their secondary structure includes four short double-helical elements and three loops (D, anti-codon, and T loops). The record is from RNAcentral. Lineage: Bacteria; Pseudomonadati; Pseudomonadota; Gammaproteobacteria; Chromatiales; Chromatiaceae. RNAcentral also lists the same sequence under 2 other names.
GCGCCCUUAGCUCAGUUGGUAGAGCAUCUGACUUUUAAUCAGGUGGUCGCAGGUUCGAGCCCUGCAGGGCGCA